Culex pipiens pallens (northern house mosquito) is the source of this 6754-nucleotide long non-coding RNA. RefSeq lists it as uncharacterized. Lineage: Eukaryota; Metazoa; Arthropoda; Insecta; Diptera; Culicidae. The transcript has 2 exons. The record is from RefSeq and is a predicted model, not a curated record.
UAUCAGGCUAAUUUCAUGAUGUUUGAAGUGUCGCUUGACUAUUUCGAGUGGUUCUGAAAAGUGGCCCCAUGGGAACCGGUAUCCGGAACAUCCGGAGUGACCAUAUUUGGACAGGAUCUUGUCGAGGACACUAGAAAUAAGUUGUAGAGUAAAUAUAUUUCUGAUUCCACGAUGUUUGAAGUGUCACUUGACCAUUUUGAAUGAUUUUGAAAAAUUGCCCCACGGGAACCGGUAUCCGGAACAUCCGGGGUGGCCAUACUGUGAGCAGAUUAGGUUUUUUGGCAACAAUGAUACUUUUUUUUAUCAUAUUUGCUGUAAAUAUUGAGGAUUACAAUGAUGUUUCAAUCAGAUUUAUGACCAAGUUCUGCCUAGCUCCGAGAACUUCCAGAACCGGUAUCCGGAACAUCCGGUAUUGGUUCUACGUGACCGGAAGUUGAUCUGUGUGACUCAGAAGUGUUAAAAGAGCAAAAUUGGUUGAAAUUUAUGGGUUUCCCAAUUUUUUACAAUAGAUUAUCCUCGAUUUUUGACUCAGAGACAGCUAGUUUUGCCUCCCCUUAAAGGGGGAGGGGUCAGGGGGAUGGGUCAUCUCUUAAAAGAUGGCGCAACUAAUCCCCUUGAUUUUGCAACUUGAAGCACUCAAAUCGGUUGAAAACUGGCUGAGCUACAUCGAUUUUACUAAACAUAAAACGUCCUGGGUCUUUACGGGUUAAAUUAUUACUGAAUUUUGGUUGAUUCAACUGAAAAUUGCCCGUAACAAGUACGUUUUUGUUGAAAUUUACGAAAGUAAAAUCAACAAUUUUAAUUGUUAAAAUUUCUGGGCACAGUCUCUCCGUGUGGUAAAUUUGGUUCGAUUUUUAUUUAUUGGAGGUCAAAUAUUGGUCGAAUAUAGUUGGAUAGAGUCCCCAAGGCAUAUUCAUAAGAAGUUUGAGUGAUAUCAACAUGAAUUUUUGAACAAAUAUCCCAUAAAAUCGAAAAAUAAUCUUCAAAAAAAAAAAAAGUUGCACUAGACCCCCCGACGAAAUAUUUCGGUAUAUACCGCAAAAUGUCGGGAAAGAGCCCUUCUUUCACGGUGCCAAAUAUCAGACAUACCGAAUUUUUUAUCAUUAGUUUGUUCUAAAAAAUACACCGUGACAACCUCUUACAUUAAGUGAGGCAAUCCUUAAAAUCUAGAGUUUUUUUUGAUUAGGUCCUAUAAACAUAUGAAAGACAAUGGUUUAUUGGUCCUUUUCAAAAAAAACUCUGGAAAUGUCCUCUCUCAUUUGUACACGGAAACUAAAAUCAUGAUUGAAUUUGUAUGCAAACUGCAUAUAAACGAACUUUAAAUCAGCGUUAUGAAAUCUAUGACACAGCCUUAUGAACCUCAUUUGACCACAUAUAAUUAAUAACAAACAUCUCUAUAGAUUUUAUAUGCGAACUCCUCAUAACCGAGCUUGUUUUCUGCUUAUUACACAGUAUUUUCCUGACAAAUACAAUCCAUGAGCACCGCAUAUAAAAUGUAUGUUCACGAUACUAUAGAUUUUUGCAGUAUGCUUGUACACAUAACACUUAUGUGCAAUGCUCACAACAUUUAUGGGUGGUUGCUUGAAUGUGUGCAUAAUCCAAGCAUAACCGUUCAUUAUUAAACAAGAUGGCGAUAAAUUAAACAAACAUAGUUUUGCUUGCGGUUUUUCUUUAAUAUAAAUUGCAGUUUUGUUUUAAAAAUAAAAGUUUUCCAUAGUGAAAAAGGCUCGGAAAAAGGUACAUUUGAAAUCAUUGAACAUUUCAGCAAAGGUUUGCCAACUUUAAUAAUUGCUCGCAUGGCAAGAUUUGAUAUAAUUUCCUCUUUCGUCCAGCAUUUUCCAGCGUCCGGAAGCGCCGCACACAGUCCCGCUAACGCAUGAUGCUGGCAGAGACCGAGAAGCCGGGAGACCGGGAGAGCAACAGCCAGCAGAAGCGCUGAAGAAAGAGCAACAGGAAGUGGCCGCCGCAAACCCUCCUCCGUUCGUCCCACUUGCCCGCUUCCAGCUCGGCAUCCACGCUCGGUGAGAAAAAGGUUAGCGAAGAAGAUCAACAUGUGCGCCACCAUCAGCAAACCAACGUUCCGACCACCAACUCUUCCACCCCUGAUACACCCACGUCGAGGAGACCAUCGUGACGGACGACGAUGACCGCGAAAGAUCUGUUCAAAACGUCUCCCGGCCCACCCAUCGGUUGUCCGCCGGCAAACGACAUUCUGCCGGACUUGACAGGCUUUAGCUGGGCAGGAUCACAGGUGCCGCCGAGAACGCCAAGUAAACGUUCCGGGGAGGAGUUUGUAGCGAUUUGGAGAGGUUUGGAUGGCUUGUUGGAGAGCUUGCCAGGACCGACUCCGAAUAUGGAGAAGCAGUUUCGGGCUAAUCGAAAGAAAGUCAGCAACGAUGCCGCUAAGAUCCGGCCACGUGCAAAAAGAGGUUCCCGCAGUCGGACGUGAUUGUUUGUAAGAGAAUAUUAAUUAAAAAAAAAACAUGUAAAAUAAAACAAACGUUAGUUAGAAACACAACUUUGUGAUAAAUAUUGAAAGAAAAUUAAAACAGGAAUUUUGCAUUACUAAUACAACAUAAAAGUAAAAUUCAUUAUUAUUAAAAAGCAAAUGAGAACUAUAAUAAGAAUUAUGAAUUUUACACAUACAUGUUAUAAGUUGGUGCAUAUUCAAAUCUGUGUGCAUUGCAUAUACCGUUCAUGUGUCGUGCAUAUACAUUUUAUAUGCGUAAGCAUACUUCAAGUUCGUAUCCAUGUAUGUAUAGUGCUCAUACAGUUUAUAUGCAAGGCACACGCCGUUUAUGAGCAGAAGCAUUCUGCAAAAAUCUAUAUGUGAAACUAAUAGCAACAAUCAUGAUUUUAAUUUCAGUGUACCUUAUUUGACUCGUUGCUUUUUAAUAUUUGAGUGGAAUUUUGUACAACAUUCAAUUCUUUGUCUUUUGUUCUCAAUUUUAUUAUUAUCUCUAUACUGUCUACCUGAGUAAUUUGAUCUAUUUUCAACGUAAACAAUUUCAACUGCUUAUUCUUCUCUAAUUCAUUAUUUGAUCUAUAGCAACUGAAUCCAUUAACUGCAUCUAUCAACACUAUGUCUCUAUUAAGAAAAUUAGCUAAUGUCGACCACAAUCUUUCAUUAGGAAGUAGUUCUUCUUCAUCUACAUAAUGCAAUAUUUUCUUUAUAUUGUGACCAACCACCUUGGUAUGCCCACAUCGUCUCAUAAACCUUCCCUGAACACUCGGGUCAUUUGAAGAGGUCGACCACUUAGAAGAGCUAGAGUUAGGGUAGAUUUUCAACCAAGAAACGCAAAAUAAGCACAACAUUUGCAAAUAUAAUAAAUCUGCACCAAUUCGUCAAACAACAGUCGUUUUGAAUUUUAAAUAGCUAGAAAAAAGUAAUAGAAUGGCACAAGAGAUUUGCAUCACACAUCACAUUAGGCAUUGUUUUCAGUAGCGACAACUUGGCUACUCUUAUCAACACCCACGAAACGCAGAGAUGAACGCAACCUCGACUUCUGCGUGAUCUUCGAGGGCACUUCGGAGUCUGGACGGGAUCGACUCGUUCACUUGUGUGGAGGCUAGGACCGGCCGGCAUGGCCAGUCCUUUACGGCUGUGAUAUUUCGAUGAUGUGUUCUGUUUGGAUUCUGACUAUAGACUGUCUUUUAUUUUCUUGUAACUUACGUUUCUAGAGUCGGUUCUCUACCUGCUACCCGAGAACCGACUUCUAACCCUAAAUGUCGGCGGGAGUCCUAAUCCCACGGCGACGCUAGACGAACCGUAAUAAAACUUUAUUACGGUUACAUCCUGCAUUUCCAAGCCACAUGCUCAUGCGCAUCGUCUACACGCAUUAAGUGCGUGUAGCGAAGGACGAUACAAAACAGAGACCCAACGGUCGUCCUGUUUAGCAUGUAACUUGGGAAUGUAGUGGUGGUGAUUACCACAUCACUCACCCCUAUAAACAAAAAAAAAGUCUUUUACUUUUUUUUUACUUUGAUACCAAAUGUUGUUAAACGAAUCUGUUCUGAUUGUCUUCAAAAAGAAGAAGAAAGAUAGAAAAGACUCAGAGCAAGCCUUGAACAUAACUUGGCUCUGAAGUCCCCUCUCCCCCAUGAUUUUGGUUAAAAAAACUACAAAUAAUUGAGAUCCGAAAUCAUUUUCUUUAUCUGUACUGAGCCAUUUGUUUAUGAAGGUUUUGCCUCAACAAAAUAUCAUUUAACAUUUUAGGUCAGUUUUUUCUUGACUAGGACACCAUCGUGCGAAAGCUCAGGGACCUUUUAUUAUAAGGUGUGUCUGCAUUUUUGCCAGGAUUUUACCUGAUCGCACAACCCGCCUGUCGAAUACUACUAUCGUACAUUGACGAUUAGUUAAACAAAAUAAGGACAUUGGUCUUACGCAUUUUCAGGCGAGAUUUACUCGUCCAUGAUUUCAUGCCAUGCCUAAUUAUUAAUGAAAAAUUGAUUUCGGGAAACAAAACAAAAAAAAAAUGGUAAAACAUAAAGUUGCUUUUAAAGUACAACCAGAACGAUUACAUUUGUAACAAGAAUUUACUUGUGCUACUUGCUUCUAAAUUUUCAUAUUUAAUUGAAGACCAAUGCAAGAAUUGCUUUUUCUAACAAUAACUUUUAACAUCUAAAUGCAUUAUUUUUUUGUUUUAUACUGAACUAUUCAAACAUUGAUGUGAACAUAAAAUACCUAAAAUGCAUAGAAUUUCUUUUGCUUUUUUUUAGUCUUCGUAGUUUGUUUUAGAACUGCUACAAAAAAUAACGCGGUUUUCAUUUUGCCACAAUUUUUGUUUCUUUUUUAAACUGCAUUUUUCUUCGCUUAGGCGUUUCGAACCAUUUAUUUGUUUGUUAAGAAUUUGGAUUCAAUAAUUGAUUUGAUAAUAAACAAUGAUUGCAUUCUACUUGACGCUAUUACGGUUGUCAAAUUAACCAAUGUUUAAAUUUUUCGAAGCACUUUUUUUUACAAUUGUAGCUAAUACCUUCUCAUUUUUUUAACACUUUAUUUGAUCAUCCUAUCUUUUUCUUGAUAACAACUUUUUGACAAAAAAAAACGCAUGUACUUUGAAAGUAUAAUUAGAACUGUUACAAAUAAUAUGAAACUAAACGUUCUAGUUAUAAUUGUUAACGUAUCUAUUACGCACUGAUUCUGAAGUUGUCCGUACUGACCAGUUUUUGAUCGAUGAUUUGACGCCAGACGAUGUUGUGAUCUUUCUGCGAUGAUUAAUUAGAGUUGCUGGUACUUAACUAGAUGGUUGACCUGCUGCACGAUCCUCUGACAUUGUGCUUGGUCCAAGGCUGCCUCUUGAUUUUAUACAUCAUUCACUUGGUACGAUCGCCGACGGUUGUAGCAACACGAACAUCUCCUUGCUGGACUGCGACUUGUUUUUGCACGUAACGAUCUUCUCUAAGCAUCAUUUUGGUUAAUGCCAACACCAACAUUUUUUUUUUUCACGAAACACGAUUCCCAAUUCAGAUUUUCACUUCCGCCGAACAAUGAUGAAGAAAGCAUACACUGUUUCUUUUGAAUGCACUAAUUGUUUAAAUGUUUUCUAAAUUGUUCAUUUGUUUAACACAUCUUCACUCAACAAUAAUGAUUGUUUCCUGAACAGCCGUUGCCUCAGUUUUUUUUUUAGAUUUUUCUCUUUGCGACUUUUAAAAUCGCUUUUCACAUUUACCGCUGCCACCAAUGUGGAGGCUAGGACCGGCCGGCAUGGCCAGUCCUUUACGGCUGUGAUAUUUCGAUGAUGUGUUCUGUUUGGAUUCUGACUAUAGACUGUCUUUUAUUUUCUUGUAACUUACGUUUCUAGAGUCGGUUCUCUACCUGCUACCCGAGAACCGACUUCUAACCCUAAAUGUCGGCGGGAGUCCUAAUCCCACGGCGACGCUAGACGAACCGUAAUAAAACUUUAUUACGGUUACAUCCUGCAUUUCCAAGCCACAUGCUCAUGCGCAUCGUCUACACGCAUUAAGUGCGUGUAGCGAAGGACGAUACAAAACAGAGACCCAACGGUCGUCCUGUUUAGCAUGUAACUUGGGAAUGUAGUGGUGGUGAUUACCACACUUGCUUGAGCACCAGAAAGGAGUUCACACGCUCACGAAGAUCUAACACCAGUGAGUAGAACCGCGAUUUGAGAAUCUCCCACGAGGUCGAGGAAGCCCCGAAAGCCACCGUCUACGGCUGAGGGAUUGCGCGAUCGUACGGCCAUCCGUAACCUGGCCAAGUCCCGCGAGUUUAGUGUUCGACCAGCACGUUAAUUACCCUGGAUUGCCCCUUGGCAAGUGUUCCUGCUAGCCACGAGCUAAGCAUCGCUGGGCUCCGUUACACAUAGCCACCGCCACGAACCGCACCGGAGUGUGCCUGGACGUGCACGACAACCACGCACGGUCCAUCGAACGUCCCGGAUCGGCUACUACGGGUACGGAAGCGAGUACGAGAGACGCCGUGUCACGAGGUUCCGGACGGGAACGUGACUUCGGCGAAGACUACGGUGUUCCACGCCGGAACGCUGGAAGUCCUGCAACACGAGGAGGAGACGGCAGGCAACGAGAGGUCCCAGGUCGAGGACGGGGACGGAGCGUGGACGAGAUCCGACCACCCACGCGUCGGGGGAUGCACCAGAUCCCGAUGUCCACGAGCGACGCCGAGAGUAGCUGAUCAGCGGGCCCAUACACUGACACCACACAAGUAAGUCCGGUUAGGUAGCGUAGGGAGUAGGUUGUUAGGGCGGAUUCUCAAAUAAACGUGCCAUGAAAACGUAGA